AGAAAUGGUGGCCAUCAUGGGAUAUGAGGAAGCAAUUGAGCUGCGUCAAUUUUGAAACUAAUGGAGUAUCUCAGCUUUGUGAUAGGCUUGGAAGAAUACUUGCUGAUUCCAGAGGCUUCGUUCCAUCAGAAAGAAAUAAAAGAGACAUUCUUCAUCAUUGCCAGAAAUUAAAUCUUGUAUGGGUAGGUCCGUACAAAUUGGGGCCCAUAGAGCCGGAAUAUUUGGAAAUCAUCCUAGGCUAUCCAUCGAAUCACACUCAAGCUGCUGAGAGUAACUUAAUUGAAAGGCUUCAUUCUCUCAGAUAUAGCUUCCAGAUAGACACUUUGGGGUAUCAUCUCUCUGUAUUAAAGUCUAUGUUCCCAGAUGGAAUAACAAUGUUGUCAGUUUUCAGCGGAAUAGGUGGGGCAGAAGUUGCUAUACACCGGCUUGGAAUCCAUAUGAAGG
Molecule: unclassified non-coding RNA, 444 nt
Filed under: Hevea brasiliensis (rubber tree)
Lineage: Eukaryota; Viridiplantae; Streptophyta; Magnoliopsida; Malpighiales; Euphorbiaceae
Source: RNAcentral